GAAAACAGAAGAGGAGCGUUACCCAGGUAUCGAUGAUUGCGGGGCCCCACCCCAAAGCAAUCUUGAGAGGGGGAGUAACGCCGAGAUAUGGCAUGACAGGGGGCAUGGCAUAUCGGCUUUGAAGGUUGAAUCCUUCUGGCUGUCAUCUUUCUUACAGACGGGAAAGAUGGGGAGCUUCUGGUCGU
RNAcentral lists this non-coding RNA (185 nucleotides) under Photobacterium aphoticum. RNAcentral describes it as "Lysine sequence". It matches the Rfam family "Lysine riboswitch aptamer". Rfam says of the family: Riboswitches are metabolite binding domains within certain messenger RNAs that serve as precision sensors for their corresponding targets. Allosteric rearrangement of mRNA structure is mediated by ligand binding, and this results in modulation of gene expression. This family includes riboswitches that sense lysine in a number of genes involved in lysine metabolism, including lysC. Lineage: Bacteria; Pseudomonadati; Pseudomonadota; Gammaproteobacteria; Vibrionales; Vibrionaceae. The record is from Rfam by way of RNAcentral.